RNAcentral lists this ribosomal RNA (1078 nucleotides) under uncultured Arcobacter sp. RNAcentral describes it as "bacterial SSU rRNA". It matches the Rfam family "Bacterial small subunit ribosomal RNA", at positions 335 to 1420 of the family's 1533-position model. Lineage: Bacteria; Pseudomonadati; Campylobacterota; Epsilonproteobacteria; Campylobacterales; Arcobacteraceae. The record is from RNAcentral.
ACUCCUUCUGGGAGGCAAGCAGUGGGGAAAUAUUGCCCAAUGGAGGACACUCUGAUGCAGCUAACGCCGCCUGGACGGAUGACAAUUUUUCGGAGCGUUAACUCCUUUUUAUAUAGGAAGCUAAUGACGGUACUGGUUGACUAAGCACCCGCUAACUCCGUGGCUAGCAGCCGCGGUAAUACGGAGGGUGCAAGCGUUACUCGGAAUCACUGGGCGUAAAGAGCGUGUAGGCGGGUUAUUAAGUCAGAAGUGAAAUCCUAUGGCUCAACCAUAGAACUGCUUUUGAAACUGGUAACCUAGAGUAUGGGAGAGGUAGAUGGAAUUUCUGGUGUAGGGGUAAAAUCCGUAGAGAUCAGAAGGAAUACCGAUUGCGAAGGCGAUCUACUGGAACAUUACUGACGCUGAGACGCGAAAGCGUGGGGAGCAAACAGGAUUAGAUACCCUGGUAGUCCACGCCCUAAACGAUGUACACUAGUUGUUGCCAUGCUAGACAUGGCAGUAAUGCAGUUAACACAUUAAGUGUACCGCCUGGGGAGUACGGUCGCAAGAUUAAAACUCAAAGGAAUAGACGGGGACCCGCACAAGCGGUGGAGCAUGUGGUUUAAUUCGACGAUACGCGAAGAACCUUACCUGGACUUGACAUUUACAGAACUUUCAAGAGAUUGAUUGGUGUCUGCUUGCAGAAACUGUAGGACAGGUGCUGCACGGCUGUCGUCAGCUCGUGUCGUGAGAUGUUGGGUUAAGUCCCGCAACGAGCGCAACCCACGUCGUUAGUUGCUAACAGUUCGGCUGAGAACUCUAACGAGACUGCCUGGGCAACCAGGAGGAAGGUGUGGACGACGUCAAGUCAUCAUGGCCCUUACGUCCAGGGCUACACACGUGCUACAAUGGGGUAUACAAAGAGCCGCGAUACCGCGAGGUGGAGCAAAUCUCAAAAAUAUCUCCCAGUUCGGAUUGUACUCUGCAACUCGAGUGCAUGAAGUUGGAAUCGCUAGUAAUCGUAGAUCAGCAAUGCUACGGUGAAUACGUUCCCGGGUCUUGUACUCACCGCCCGUCACACCAUGGGAGUUGAACUCAU